Molecule: ribosomal RNA, 108 nt
Organism: Fukomys damarensis (Damara mole-rat)
Lineage: Eukaryota; Metazoa; Chordata; Mammalia; Rodentia; Bathyergidae
Source: Ensembl
GUCUAUGGCCAUACCACCCUGAAUGCACCAGAUCUUGUCUGAUCUCAGAAGCUAAGCAGGGUCAGACCUGGAUAGUAUUUGGAAGGAAGAAUAUAAGGGACAUAAAUA